Molecule: ribosomal RNA, 2902 nt
Filed under: Escherichia coli DEC13E
Lineage: Bacteria; Pseudomonadati; Pseudomonadota; Gammaproteobacteria; Enterobacterales; Enterobacteriaceae
Description: bacterial LSU rRNA
Rfam family: Bacterial large subunit ribosomal RNA
Source: RNAcentral
UUAAGCGACUAAGCGUACACGGUGGAUGCCCUGGCAGUCAGAGGCGAUGAAGGACGUGCUAAUCUGCGAUAAGCGUCGGUAAGGUGAUAUGAACCGUUAUAACCGGCGAUUUCCGAAUGGGGAAACCCAGUGUGAUUCGACACACUAUCAUUAACUGAAUCCAUAGGUUAAUGAGGCGAACCGGGGGAACUGAAACAUCUAAGUACCCCGAGGAAAAGAAAUCAACCGAGAUUCCCCCAGUAGCGGCGAGCGAACGGGGAGCAGCCCAGAGCCUGAAUCAGUGUGUGUGUUAGUGGAAGCGUCCGGAAAGGCGCGCGAUACAGGGUGACAGCCCCGUACACAAAAAUGCACAUGCUGUGAGCUCGAUGAGUAGGGCGGGACACGUGGUAUCCUGUCUGAAUAUGGGGGGACCAUCCUCCAAGGCUAAAUACUCCUGACUGACCGAUAGUGAACCAGUACCGUGAGGGAAAGGCGAAAAGAACCCCGGCGAGGGGAGUGAAAAAGAACCUGAAACCGUGUACGUACAAGCAGUGGGAGCACAGAGCAAUCUGUGUGACUGCGUACCUUUUGUAUAAUGGGUCAGCGACUUAUAUUCUGUAGCAAGGUUAACCGAAUAGGGGAGCCGAAGGGAAACCGAGUCUUAACUGGGCGUUAAGUUGCAGGGUAUAGACCCGAAACCCGGUGAUCUAGCCAUGGGCAGGUUGAAGGUUGGGUAACACUAACUGGAGGACCGAACCGACUAAUGUUGAAAAAUUAGCGGAUGACUUGUGGCUGGGGGUGAAAGGCCAAUCAAACCGGGAGAUAGCUGGUUCUCCCCGAAAGCUAUUUAGGUAGCGCCUCGUGAAUUCAUCUCCGGGGGCAGAGCACUGUUUCGGCAAGGGGGUCAUCCCGACUUACCAACCCGAUGCAAACUGCGAAUACCGGAGAAUGUUAUCACGGGAGACACACGGCGGGUGCUAACGUCCGUCGUGAAGAGGGAAACAACCCAGACCGCCAGCUAAGGUCCCAAAGUCAUGGUUAAGUGGGAAACGAUGUGGGAAGGCCCAGACAGCCAGGAUGUUGGCUUAGAAGCAGCCAUCAUUUAAAGAAAGCGUAAUAGCUCACUGGUCGAGUCGGCCUGCGCGGAAGAUGUAACGGGGCUAAACCAUGCACCGAAGCUGCGGCAGCGACGCUUAUGCGUUGUUGGGUAGGGGAGCGUUCUGUAAGCCUGCGAAGGUGUGCUGUGAGGCAUGCUGGAGGUAUCAGAAGUGCGAAUGCUGACAUAAGUAACGAUAAAGCGGGUGAAAAGCCCGCUCGCCGGAAGACCAAGGGUUCCUGUCCAACGUUAAUCGGGGCAGGGUGAGUCGACCCCUAAGGCGAGGCCGAAAGGCGUAGUCGAUGGGAAACAGGUUAAUAUUCCUGUACUUGGUGUUACUGCGAAGGGGGGACGGAGAAGGCUAUGUUGGCCGGGCGACGGUUGUCCCGGUUUAAGCGUGUAGGCUGGUUUUCCAGGCAAAUCCGGAAAAUCAAGGCUGAGGCGUGAUGACGAGGCACUACGGUGCUGAAGCAACAAAUGCCCUGCUUCCAGGAAAAGCCUCUAAGCAUCAGGUAACAUCAAAUCGUACCCCAAACCGACACAGGUGGUCAGGUAGAGAAUACCAAGGCGCUUGAGAGAACUCGGGUGAAGGAACUAGGCAAAAUGGUGCCGUAACUUCGGGAGAAGGCACGCUGAUAUGUAGGUGAAGUCCCUCGCGGAUGGAGCUGAAAUCAGUCGAAGAUACCAGCUGGCUGCAACUGUUUAUUAAAAACACAGCACUGUGCAAACACGAAAGUGGACGUAUACGGUGUGACGCCUGCCCGGUGCCGGAAGGUUAAUUGAUGGGGUCAGCGCAAGCGAAGCUCUUGAUCGAAGCCCCGGUAAACGGCGGCCGUAACUAUAACGGUCCUAAGGUAGCGAAAUUCCUUGUCGGGUAAGUUCCGACCUGCACGAAUGGCGUAAUGAUGGCCAGGCUGUCUCCACCCGAGACUCAGUGAAAUUGAACUCGCUGUGAAGAUGCAGUGUACCCGCGGCAAGACGGAAAGACCCCGUGAACCUUUACUAUAGCUUGACACUGAACAUUGAGCCUUGAUGUGUAGGAUAGGUGGGAGGCUUUGAAGUGUGGACGCCAGUCUGCAUGGAGCCGACCUUGAAAUACCACCCUUUAAUGUUUGAUGUUCUAACGUUGACCCGUGAUCCGGGUUGCGGACAGUGUCUGGUGGGUAGUUUGACUGGGGCGGUCUCCUCCUAAAGAGUAACGGAGGAGCACGAAGGUUGGCUAAUCCUGGUCGGACAUCAGGAGGUUAGUGCAAUGGCAUAAGCCAGCUUGACUGCGAGCGUGACGGCGCGAGCAGGUGCGAAAGCAGGUCAUAGUGAUCCGGUGGUUCUGAAUGGAAGGGCCAUCGCUCAACGGAUAAAAGGUACUCCGGGGAUAACAGGCUGAUACCGCCCAAGAGUUCAUAUCGACGGCGGUGUUUGGCACCUCGAUGUCGGCUCAUCACAUCCUGGCUGAAGUAGGUCCCAAGGGUAUGGCUGUUCGCCAUUUAAAGUGGUACGCGAGCUGGGUUUAGAACGUCGUGAGACAGUUCGGUCCCUAUCUGCCGUGGGCGCUGGAGAACUGAGGGGGGCUGCUCCUAGUACGAGAGGACCGGAGUGGACGCAUCACUGGUGUUCGGGUUGUCAUGCCAAUGGCACUGCCCGGUAGCUAAAUGCGGAAGAGAUAAGUGCUGAAAGCAUCUAAGCACGAAACUUGCCCCGAGAUGAGUUCUCCCUGACUCCUUGAGAGUCCUGAAGGAACGUUGAAGACGACGACGUUGAUAGGCCGGGUGUGUAAGCGCAGCGAUGCGUUGAGCUAACCGGUACUAAUGAACCGUGAGGCUUAACCUU